GAUGAACGCUGGCGGCGUGCCUAAUACAUGCAAGUCGAGCGAACGGACGAGAAGCUUGCUUCUCUGAUGUUAGCGGCGGACGGGUGAGUAACACGUGGAUAACCUACCUAUAAGACUGGGAUAACUUCGGGAAACCGGAGCUAAUACCGGAUAAUAUUUUGAACCGCAUGGUUCAAAAGUGAAAGACGGUCUUGCUGUCACUUAUAGAUGGAUCCGCGCUGCAUUAGCUAGUUGGUAAGGUAACGGCUUACCAAGGCAACGAUGCAUAGCCGACCUGAGAGGGUGAUCGGCCACACUGGAACUGAGACACGGUCCAGACUCCUACGGGAGGCAGCAGUAGGGAAUCUUCCGCAAUGGGCGAAAGCCUGACGGAGCAACGCCGCGUGAGUGAUGAAGGUCUUCGGAUCGUAAAACUCUGUUAUUACGGAAGAACAUAUGUGUAAGUAACUGUGCACAUCUUGACGGUACCUAAUCAGAAAGCCACGGCUAACUACGUGCCAACAGCCGCGGUAAUACGUAGGUGGCAAGCGUUAUCCGGAAUUAUUGGGCGUAAAGCGCGCGUAGGCGGUUUUUUAAGUCUGAUGUGAAAGCCCACGGCUCAACCCGUGGAGGGUCAUUGGAAACUGGAAAACUUGAGUGCAGAAGAGGAAAGUGGAAUUCCAUGUGUAGCGGUGAAAUGCGCAGAGAUAUGGAGGAACACCAGUGGCGAAGGCGACUUUCUGGUCUGUAACUGACGCUGAUGUGCGAAAGCGUGGGGAUCAAACAGGAUUGGAUACCCUGGUAGUCCACGCCGUAAACGAUGAGUGCUAAGUGUUAGGGGGUUUCCGCCCCUUAGUGCUGCAGCUAACGCAUUAAGCACUCCGCCUGGGGAGUACGACCGCAAGGUUGAAACUCAAAGGAAUUGACGGGGACCCGCACAAGCGGUGGAGCAUGUGGUUUAAUUCGAAGCAACGCGAAGAACCUUACCAAAUCUUGACAUCCUUUGACAACUCUAGAGAUAGAGCUUUCCCCUUCGGGGGACAAAGUGACAGGUGGUGCAUGGUUGUCGUCAGCUCGUGUCGUGAGAUGUUGAGUUAAGUCCCGCAACGAGCGCAACCCUUAAGCUUAGUUGCCAUCAUUAAGUUGGGCACUCUAAGUUGACUGCCGAUGACAAACCGGAGGAAGGUGGGGAUGACGUCAAAUCAUCAUGCCCCUUAUGAUUUGGGCUACACACGUGCUACAAUGGACAAUACAAAGGGCAGCGAAACCGUGAGGUCAAGCAAAUCCCAUAAAGUUGUUCUCAGUUCGGAUUGUAGUCUGCAACUCGACUACAUGAAGCUGGAAUCGCUAGUAAUCGCAGAUCAGCAUGCUACGGUGAAUACGUUCCCGGGUCU
This 1373-nucleotide ribosomal RNA is filed under the name uncultured bacterium. RNAcentral describes it as "bacterial SSU rRNA". It matches the Rfam family "Bacterial small subunit ribosomal RNA", at positions 28 to 1381 of the family's 1533-position model. The record is from RNAcentral.